GGGAGGACGGAGAAAGCGAGAUGGCCUGCCAACCCACAACGGCUACUAAAGUCCUGGACCUAGGAGCCUCUGCUGCGGGCCCGGAGAACUGAUCCCCGGAGGCCAGUCGAAUCCCGGGGCUGGGCCAUGUCACUGCACAUGCGCUGAACGCCUGGGAAGCGUGCAGGGCAGGCGCUGCGGGGCACUGAGCUGUGCCCGCGGCUUACGCCUAGCUGCAAAGGAGCUUGGAAGCCCCACCUCAAGGAAGGAGAGAUCGAAAGCCCAGCUCACAUCCUGACCUGUUAACAUCAAGGCCCGCACCAGGUAUUGGCUCCUAGAUCUUUAAACCCACAGAGAUUCAAGUCAGGGACCCUGGAAGUUAGACUUCCGGGCUUCUCAGCUCUUGGGUUCCCAGUGGUUUUUAUUAUGUUUCUUUUCUUUUUCAUUGGGUUAACAGACAAUGGGGGCAUUUCCGGCAGUGGCAAU
Nycticebus coucang (slow loris) is the source of this 465-nucleotide long non-coding RNA. RefSeq lists it as uncharacterized. Lineage: Eukaryota; Metazoa; Chordata; Mammalia; Primates; Lorisidae. The record is from RefSeq and is a predicted model, not a curated record. The transcript has 3 exons.